CCCUUAGAUGUCCUGGGCUGCACGCGCGCUACACUGAUGUGUCCAGUAAGCACCUAACCUCUUCCGAAAGGAACGGGUAACCUUUGCAAAGCACAUCGUGAUGGGGAUAGAUUAUUGCAAUUAUUAGUCUUGAACGAGGAAUUCCUAGUAAGCACAAGUCAUCAGCUUGUGUUGAUUACGUCCCUGCCCUUUGUACACACCGCCCGUCGCUCCUACCGAUUGAAUGUUCCGGUGAGCUCUUCGGACUGCGCGGUCUGCAGUUUCUGCGUUCCGUGCGGAAAGUUGCGCAAACCUUAACAUUUAGAGGGAGGAGAAGUCGUAACA
RNAcentral lists this ribosomal RNA (324 nucleotides) under uncultured eukaryote. Its description in RNAcentral is "partial 18S ribosomal RNA". It matches the Rfam family "Eukaryotic small subunit ribosomal RNA", at positions 1470 to 1796 of the family's 1831-position model. The record is from RNAcentral.